Zophobas morio is the source of this 963-nucleotide long non-coding RNA. RefSeq lists it as uncharacterized. The record is from RefSeq and is a predicted model, not a curated record. NCBI's taxonomy places the organism in Eukaryota, Metazoa, Arthropoda, Insecta, Coleoptera, Tenebrionidae. The transcript has 2 exons.
UUUCUACAAUACUUUAGUCAUUUGAAUCUAGGCUAUUCGCGAAAAAUGAUUUUCCUGCUUUGUAGAAACACAGACACAGACUUCAUUGACCACAAAAACAAAAAUCCAAAAUUUAGAAAACUGAAUCUAACUGCUUAAAAAAAUAACUGGGUGUCAUCAUGGCUCCAUCGAUCAACAAAUACUACAAACAAACUCAUCGUUUAAACGCAACACCGAAAUGAUUUUACACUCCACCUCGCAACAUUGUCUUAAAAUCUUGAAAGAUAAACUUUUUGCUCUUGUAUAUCUAAAUAAAUAAACACAACACCGCCUCACAAUUUACCAAUUUUUAUUUCGACGUGAUAAGGUUUAGAGUGGUGUCAGUGUUCAAACACUCGAAUCCAGCUAAAAAUCUUCCGACUGUUUUAUUAAAUAAUAAUUUAUACAAAGUGUUAUCAUUGUCGUUGAGUAAAAUAAACAAAAAAUCUUCAUAAAUUGUGCUACAAGCCCAAGUGAAUCCCCUUUUUACAGAAAGAGACUUUGGGUCGAUAUAUAAAGCACCCACCAAUAGUGAAACAGGCGCAAGAAGCUAGUACGCGAUUAGUCCGUGUUACUGUUAAUAACAAAGUGAGAUUGUCCUUCGAAUACUCAUCACGAUGGAUAAAAAUUCCAAAGAUAAUCGCUCAAAUCAGAAGAACCCCAAUAACAACGCCUAUUAUUCCAGCAGGGGAGAUUCAAAGUCAAGCUCCUCAUCGUCCAGUUAUUCAAAGCAAGAACAGGACAACCGGUCCAAACAAAUGAAUCCGAACAACGAUGCCUAUUACAAUUCAAGAGGAAAGAAGUAACCCUAGAACCAAAGCAACAAGUUACUUAAUAUUAAUAUAACUCAAAUCACUUAUUUUCAUUAGAAAUUAGAACACCAGUUCAAGUACUUAAGUAUGUAAGUCAGGAUAGAAAAUAUAGACAAUAUAUUAAUAAAACUUU